Long non-coding RNA from Juglans regia (Persian walnut), 832 nucleotides. RefSeq lists it as uncharacterized. NCBI's taxonomy places the organism in Eukaryota, Viridiplantae, Streptophyta, Magnoliopsida, Fagales, Juglandaceae. The transcript is spliced from 3 exons. The record is from RefSeq and is a predicted model, not a curated record.
CAGCGUCCACGACUCCAUGCCAUCCAACCUCUAAGGUCUCCAGCUUCAACUUUCCGCAACUCUCCAACAACAGCAGCUGCAGCGACGCAGCCUCCACCACUCCACGUUCCUCCUGCAAACGGUGCAACCUCCACCACUCCACGUUUUUUUAGGUUGUCCUUAAUCCACGUAGUAAGUUGAGGCUUCUUACUUUCCACCUAAAAAGUUUUUAUUAUGAGAAUUGGGUUGAAGAUUUGUUGUCAAGGGUGAGACAUUUAUUAUCAGACAUGUAUGCGGAGUAUAAUGCUCCAUUUGGUUCUACCUCGACUAGCAAAGAACAUGUUCCCUCUCCGGCAUCUGCACUUCUAAAUGAUGCUGAAGGCAAUCAUGAGUCAACUUUUUUAUGAGUGAUUGCUAGCAUUGACUGCCUCUGGAUCUACAACUACCAAAACAAAGAUAGACCGGUAUUUAUCAUAUGGAUAUGGGGCAUUCAGCUAAUCUUUUAACUUGUUGAAUUGGUGGAAAGUGAAUGAGCCUAACUAUCCUAUACUUGCAAGGAUUGCACGAGACGUAUUAGCCAUGUUUGUUUCCAUUGUUGUAUCAGAGUCAGCAUUUAGUACGAGAAGUCGUGUAUUUGAUCAUUUUCAGAGUUCGUUGGCUCCAAGAACUGUUGAGGCACUUAUUCGUAUUUCGUACUCAGAAUGGGUUGCGACAUCCGUCAACACCAACUGAUAUUCGAGACUCCAUGGAUAAUGUUGAGAGUUUUGUAGUAGAAUCUGGAGCAUCGUUCAUCACAACUUUUGAUGACUGAAGAGUCGAAGACUGCAUUGGGAAUCUAUUUGGAAUCUUGAAG